UUACUCUCUUUUUGUUCUCGGACAUCAACACGCCCGGAGUGGGUAGGUGAGGGGCCUCUUACACCGACGGCAACAACUCAGCAAGCACUCGGAUAAGCGUCUACACCUUCCGCUCUUCUUUCUCAUCGUAAAGAAGGUACGCUGGGCUCGAGGGCAGACGCGGGCAUGCGCGUCCUCAUCCUCCAUCUCACCUCCAUCCUUAAACACACACACAUACAUACAUACAGGCUCGUUUACCAGUGCGCUGUGAACAAGAAAACCGGCUCAUAGGCAAACGCACCUAUACACUGACACCGGCUGUUAACAGGGUGUAGAGCCUUCCUCUGCACGAACACUCGAACCCUCGCACUGACACACUCACAGAAGAUAAGGCUAUUGGGUACAUCAGCGUCUCUCCCUGCUUGAGCGUAUAUCUCUCUCUACCCGCGUAGCUGUUUGUGUGGCCGUUUUAUUCUUCUCGAUCUCGCGUUGCGUCAUAUCCUGGAAAGGUCACGGCUUCCGGUAACGACGCGCCUUUACUGUUUGGUCGUGUAGUUGCUGGUUUUGGCGAGAGCGACCGAGAACCACGCGUGUGCCGCGCCGCCACUCUCCGCUGUUGUGCUUCUCCUCUUGUUUCCCCAAAAAAUAUUCCCCCCUUCAUUUUGUGGCGCAGCUCUCUCUGUCGCCCCCUCCUUCCUUGGCGAUGUCUCUCUCCACUCACCGCCCGGUGAAGGGCAUCACGUAUGGGGUUGUGUGCCCUGUGUGCUGCAAUCCGAUGGACUUUGAGUGCAUCAGUGAAAGGAUGUACGGCGUGCGGUGUCCGACGUGCAAUGCCAUGAUAGACCUCCGCAACCCGGCAGAGACGCUGCCGGACACCGACACCGGCGUCUACGAGGGGGACACGCAACGCAUCAAGGUUGUGCACUACUCAGCUGAGGUAGAGCCGUCGACUGGGAUGUCCGCCAGCGCGCAGGUAAACAACCUCUUGAGCAGCGUGGAGGCAGAGAAGCGCAAGAUCAUGCCGACAGUGAUGACGGGAGAGACGAAGCAGGCCUUCUCCGCCCAACGCCAGCAGGCACUCGCGCAGAAGUUCUCGCUUUUCUUCCCUGUGACGCACGCGAUCGAGUACGUCGUCUUUGGCAAGAAGCCGUACGCCAAAAUCGGGCACGUGCGCAUCUUCCGCAAGCGCAUUCCCUUCUACGGAUACGUGAACAUCUGCGCCCCUCAGACGACCACAUCCUACUCGGCGCCGUGCUCUUUCACCUUUCUAUUCAUCAUCCCCGUCAGAUGGCUCUGGGCACAAUUAGAGCUGGAGUGGAUAGCGCGCUAUUACCACGCCGAGUUGGUGCUUGUCUUUCUCUUCUAUACGCUGCUGUUUCGGCUGGCGUACAGUGAUCCCGGCUAUGUGAAGCCGGGCUACAUGGACGACGAGGGCGGCGACACCGCUGCUGCUGCCGCUGCCGAGGAAAUGACUCUGCGUGACAUAGAGCGCAACCAGAGGGAGAGCUUGUGGGAGGAUGUGAACGGCGUUCCGAUGGAGCGCAAGUGGUGCUCUACGUGCAACAUGCAUCGCCCUGUGCGAGCUGCCCACUGUUACAUUUGUGGCCUGUGCUGCUACGACCACGAUCACCACUGCGGCGUCCUCGGUAUCUGUGUUGGCCGUCGCCGUGUUGAGAUGUUCUCGACGUUUGUGUCGGUCGCCACGAUGAUGUGCGCCUUACCGACGAUGACCAUCAUCUGCGCCCUCUGGACACACUGGGAGAAGUUCACAGCAGCUCUGCUGGCGGUGGCGUUCUUUUUGGUCGUGAUGCUGAUGCCCUUAUCCAUCCUCCUCACCAUGACAGCGGUCUCCAUGUGGCAGUCGAUCACUCAGGAGGCGAGCACCCGCGAGCGCAUCCAGCACGUAUACGCUCACAAGCGCAACCCCUACAACCGCGGCUUCUUCAAGAACUUGUACUACCACCUAGUGCAGCGCCGCGUCGCCGCGUCGCUGUUCGACGACGACUUUGUGAAGAGGUGCGCGCUGCGGGUUCAGGAGCGUGAGCUGGGCACCGGCGUCACGGUUACGUGCAUCUGAGCGAGUGAAGGAGGAGGAGAAGGGAAGAGGACCAGUACAGUACACGUGUGUGCACAUGCGCACCAUCACAGCCCCUCUUGCUCCCCCUCUCUCUUUUCCUGUCCUCUUUCCCCGUCCACCCACACGCAUCUAACCCUUGCUUCACUAGAGUGACGAGUGCGAAAAGGGCGACUGGUGAUUGCACGUCAGGUGCGGAAAGAGUCCCCCGUCGUCUUCGCUUGCUGCUUUGGCUUCCCUUUUAGCUGAUUUAGUCUUAUAUGUUGUGUAUGCGUGCUGAUCUUGCUCUCUCCCCCCUCUCCCCCUCUCCCUCUUUCCCUCGCGUAUGUUGCCUGCCCCGAAAGCAUCUGAAAUCCUACGUCUGCCCAUGCACCAUGCACGCACUGCCGCUCAUUCACAUCGACCCCCUUCCCCUCCACACACACACAGCGUGUCACCCUUCUUUUUAGGUUUCUUUGCAGGCGUUAUCACCUUCAGCUGCUUUCUGCAUCUCUCCCCCUUACCCCCUCUCGCAGCUCCUUGUCAGUGCUAAGUUCUGGAGUGACUGGGCCAAGAGCAGAUGGUGCGCAUUCUAUCGGCUCGUACGAAAUUCACGCACGGAAGCUGUGGACUCUACCUUUCCCUCCCCCCACCUGACACACACAAACACACACACACACACACCCCUCCUUUCUUGCCGCGGAUGGAAGAAAGUGCAAAGGUCGGGUCGUAUCGACAGUGCAGCUUGCUUCAC
This 2786-nucleotide unclassified non-coding RNA is filed under the name Leishmania donovani. RNAcentral's name for it is "gene:LdHU3.28.2630(CDS-product:palmitoyl_acyltran sferase_4_putative)". Lineage: Eukaryota; Euglenozoa; Kinetoplastea; Trypanosomatida; Trypanosomatidae. The record is from RNAcentral.